Molecule: ribosomal RNA, 450 nt
Filed under: uncultured bacterium
Lineage: Bacteria
Description: partial 16S ribosomal RNA
Rfam family: Bacterial small subunit ribosomal RNA
Source: RNAcentral
GUGGGGAAUAUUGGACAAUGGGCGAAAGCCUGAUCCAGCCAUGCCGCGUGUGUGAAGAAGGUCUUCGGAUUGUAAAGCACUUUAAGUUGGGAGGAAGGGUAGUAACCUAAUACGUUGCUACUUUGACGUUACCGACAGAAUAAGCACCGGCUAACUUCGUGCCAGCAGCCGCGGUAAUACGAAGGGUGCAAGCGUUAAUCGGAAUUACUGGGCGUAAAGCGCGCGUAGGUGGUUCAGUAAGUUGGAAGUGAAAUCCCCGGGCUCAACCUGGGAACUGCUUUCAAAACUGCAUGACUAGAGUACGGUAGAGGGUAGUGGAAUUUCCUGUGUAGCGGUGAAAUGCGUAGAUAUAGGAAGGAACACCAGUGGCGAAGGCGACUACCUGGACUGAUACUGACACUGAGGUGCGAAAGCGUGGGGAGCAAACAGGAUUAGAUACCCGUGUAGUCC